UACGUAGGGUGCAAGCGUUGUCCGGAAUUAUUGGGCGUAAAGAGCUCGUAGGCGGUCUGUCGCGUCGAAUGUGAAAACCCGGGGCUCAACCCCGGGCCUGCAUUCGAUACGGGCAGACUAGAGUUCGGUAGGGGAGUCUGGAAUUCCUGGUGUAGCGGUGAAAUGCGUAGAUAUCUGGAGGAACACCGGUGGCGAAGGCGGCAUCCUGGACCGGCAUUGACGCUGAGGCGCGAAAGCCAGGGGAGCAAACGGG
Molecule: ribosomal RNA, 253 nt
Filed under: uncultured bacterium
Lineage: Bacteria
Description: partial 16S ribosomal RNA
Rfam family: Bacterial small subunit ribosomal RNA
Source: RNAcentral